This 492-nucleotide ribosomal RNA is filed under the name uncultured bacterium. RNAcentral describes it as "partial 16S ribosomal RNA". It matches the Rfam family "Bacterial small subunit ribosomal RNA", at positions 29 to 507 of the family's 1533-position model. The record is from RNAcentral.
AGUGAACGCUGGCGGUAGGCCUAACACAUGCAAGUCGAACGGCAGCACAGUAAGAGCUUGCUCUUACGGGUGGCGAGUGGCGGACGGGUGAGGAAUACAUCGGAUUCUACUUUUUCGUGGGGGAUAACGUAGGGAAACUUACGCUAAUACCGCAUACGACCUACGGGUGAAAGCAGGGGAUCUUCGGACCUUGCGCGAUUGAAUGAGCCGAUGUCGGAUUAGCUAGUUGGCGGGGUAAAGGCCCACCAAGGCGACGAUCCGUAGCUGGUCUGAGAGGAUGGUCAGCCACCCUGGAACUGGGACACGGUCCAGACUCCUACGGGAGGCAGCAGUGGGGAAUAUUGGACAAUGGGCGCAAGCCUGAUCCAGCCAUACCGCGUGGGUGAAGAAGGCCUUCGGGUUGUAAAGCCCUUUUGUUGGGAAAGAAAAGCAGCAGGUUAAUACCCCGCUGUUCUGACGGUACCCAAAGAAUAAGCACCGGCUAACUUCGUG